This is a long non-coding RNA of Bubalus bubalis (water buffalo), 933 nucleotides long. RefSeq lists it as uncharacterized. NCBI's taxonomy places the organism in Eukaryota, Metazoa, Chordata, Mammalia, Artiodactyla, Bovidae. The record is from RefSeq and is a predicted model, not a curated record. The transcript is spliced from 2 exons.
GAGGGUCUGGGAGUAUUCUUGCAGCUUUUAGCAAUAUUUUCUUUUACCUGAGGGCCAACCAGGUGUUGGUGGUGGGAUAGAGGACAUGGGAUGGCUCGCUGGCUCUAUGAGACAGAAUGAGGGGUCUAAGUGGAGACAAGAGUGGGGAUGAGCAGGGAGCUGACGACUCAGGAUGUUUCUAGGCUUUGGGCCAAGACGUCCAGGGGCUGGAGCCAGGAUCAUAGUUAUGGAGACCCAAGAUGAAUAGCAAUGAACUUGACGGAUUUCAUAUCUUAGAGGGAUGAACCUGGAGCCCAGAGAAGGCAGCUCUGGCCAGCUAGGGAAGGGUCUUCUUGGCAGUGACAGUGACUUAAGACUUUAUCCAGUGGACAAGGAUAUCCAUGAAAGGUUUAAGUGGGAGAAUCGAACAGUCACAUUUCUAAUGUAGAAAGAGCUCUCUCAUGGCACCCGGUAUGUGGCCUGAUGGACAGCAAGCCUGAAGGCAAGGAGGGCAGCAAGGAGACUGCUGCUCUGAUCCAGGUUGGUGGCUGAGCAGGUGGAGAGAAGAUUCAAGCCACCCCAGGUCCAGCCCCUCCAUCUCUCCCUGCACAGCAGCCUCCCCAGGGCCUCCCCGCCUCCACCACACUCUUCCCGGCCUCCUGCGCACUGCAGCCCAGCGAGACCCACAGCGCCUUUGAAGACAAGACUGGGUUCAUGUCCAAUGCCUGGUGGCUUCGCGUUGUACCCAGAAGGACAUGGGACUCUGUGCCAGCGGUACCAGCCCAUGUGGGACUCUGCCUAGGUCCCCAUCUUACAUCCUUCCCUCCAUCUCUCACACAGGCUCCCCUCCACUCUUCACUCCAGGCUUUUGCACCUGCCAUUCCUGACACUUGGAGACCCUCGCCCCAGGGCUGCUGGGGCUCCUUAAGAAAAAAAAAAAAGACUUUAAAUUUG